Long non-coding RNA from Cynoglossus semilaevis (tongue sole), 1048 nucleotides. RefSeq lists it as uncharacterized. The record is from RefSeq and is a predicted model, not a curated record. Lineage: Eukaryota; Metazoa; Chordata; Actinopteri; Pleuronectiformes; Cynoglossidae. The transcript has 2 exons.
UUCUGUUGGGCCGAGUGCCUCAUUGCAGUAUGUUUGCCACCACAAGCUGCAGAUUGUACUGCUACUUAAGACAGAGACUUUAAUUGACAUAACCGUGUCAUCUAAAUGUAAAACCCUCACAGUUAUUAAUGAAGGCAGGAGUAUAAAUUUGAUUCCCCCCUCCCCCCUUUUAAAUACUUCUCCAUGACUUUUGCAUAAGGCUGCUGGCAGGUAAGGAAUCAAUACUAUUAAAGCCUCGACAGAAGAUUGUGGGUAUAUAUCAUUACAGAUAUGACAAAAGUAUCAGAAUCUGUAAUUAAUCACCGACGUCUCUGUAGCUGGGCUCUUCGAAGAAAACUGGGGCAUUAACACUGCCUGAGGGAAAAGAAAGCAACAGGGUCAGGCUGUUCAGCACAGAAAAAAAAGGUGAAAAAUGUGCAGGAAAAGCCAGCUAUUGAAGACUAACAUAGAGGCAAUUAUUAAAAAAAAAAAAUUAUUGACUUGGUAUGUUCUGAGACCUAACAAUUUUUCUCUCCUCCCCAAAACAUCGAUUUUGAUCCAGUUCUGUAAUUAGGUUACAAUUGUUUUAUUAGGAUUUUUAAAAAAAUCUUUAAGUCUUAUUAUUAAAUAAUUCACAUUAGGGCAAAUAAAUGCAGUGAAACUGUGUUUUUAAUUGAGCAAAUACAUUCAGAUAUGUAUUAUUAAUAUUUCCUAAUUUAAAAAAAAAAGAGUACUACACAAGAGUAGAGUGAACUGAGAUGAAGACUCAAGUGUUCCUAUUGAGGGAAACCAAAUUUGUCCCAGGGGUAGAUUCAUCAUUUUAUCUGGCAUUGAUGCAGCCUCCUGAGCAAAAAGCACUAACUAUUCCAAGCUGAGGGGAAAUCACUCUCAUCUCACAACUCCACCCCCACUACGCUUGGGCCCACUUUUAUGCAGCAGCUUAAUUCAAAACAGAAACCAACUCCGAGGAGCUGAGAGGCCAUACCUCUACCGACACUUAAGCACCAACUAACGUACACAUUUUGUUCCAACACACUUUCUUACGAGUCAAGCCAGAAAAAAAAAAAAA